RNAcentral lists this microRNA precursor (97 nucleotides) under Marmota monax (woodchuck). Lineage: Eukaryota; Metazoa; Chordata; Mammalia; Rodentia; Sciuridae. The record is from RNAcentral.
AGUGUAAUUGCUGGAUCAUAUGGUAAGAAUAUGUUUAGUUUUGUAAGAAACUGUCAAGCUGUCUUCCAAAGUACCGUUUUGCAUUCCCAUCAGGGAU